RNAcentral lists this ribosomal RNA (1107 nucleotides) under uncultured Termite group 1 bacterium. Its description in RNAcentral is "bacterial SSU rRNA". It matches the Rfam family "Bacterial small subunit ribosomal RNA", at positions 212 to 1333 of the family's 1533-position model. The record is from RNAcentral. Lineage: Bacteria; Pseudomonadati; Elusimicrobiota.
AAUGCGUUUUGAGAUGGUCCUGCGGCCUAUCAGCUAGUUGGUGGGAUAACAGCCUACCAAGGCUAUGACGGGUAUCCGGCCUGAAAGGGUGAACGGACACACUGGAACUGAGACACGGUCCAGACUCCUACGGGAGGCAGCAGUGGGGAAUUUUGGACAAUGGGGGCAACCCUGAUCCAGCGACGCCGCGUGGAGGACGAAGGUCUUCGGAUUGUAAACUCCUUUUAGAGGGAAAGAAAAAAAUGACGGUACCCUCAGAAAAAGCCACGGCUAACUACGUGCCAGCAGCCGCGGUAAUACGUAGGUGGCGAGCGUUACUCGGAAUUACUAGGCGUAAAGCGUAUGUAGGCGGUCGGAUAAGUCAUUAGUGAAAUUUCUCUGCUUAACAGGGAAGGGUCUAAUGAUACUGUUUGACUUGAGUGUUGGAGAGGGAGACGGAAUUCCUGGUGUAGCGGUGGAAUGCGUAGAUAUCAGGAGGAACACCGAUGGCGUAAGCAGUUUCCUGGACAAAUACUGACGCUAAUGUACGAAAGCUAGGGGAGCAAACAGGAUUAGAUACCCUGGUAGUCCUAGCUGUAAACGAUGUUCACUAGAUGUGGGAGGUAUCGACCCCUCCCGCGUCGUCGCUAACGCAUUAAGUGAAUCGCCUGGGGAGUACGGCCGCAAGGUUAAAACUCAAAGGAAUUGACGGGGACUCGCACAAGCGGUGGACUAUGUGGUUUAAUUCGACGUAACGCGAAGAACCUUACCUGGGCUUGAACUGCUAAUGGUAAAAGCUGGAAACAGUAAUGACCCGCAAGGGAGUUAGUAGAGGUGCUGCAUGGCUGUCGUCAGCUCGUGUCGUGAGAUGUUGGGUUAAGUCCUGCAACGAGCGCAACCCUUAUCCCAUGUUAUCUGUAGCAAUACAGAGUCUCUGAGGAAACUGCCAUUGAUAAAAUGGAGGAAGGUGGGGACGACGUCAAGUCAUCAUGGCCUUUAUGUCCAGGGCUACACACGUAGUACAAUGGCCGGUACAGAGGGUGGCGAUAUCGUAAGGUGGAGCAAAUCCCUAAAAGCCGGCCCCAGUUCAGAUUGUGGGCUGAAAUUCGCCCACAUGAAGUAGGAAUC